RNAcentral lists this long non-coding RNA (202 nucleotides) under Nicotiana benthamiana. RNAcentral describes it as "long non-coding RNA (NBEN_LNC006950)". The record is from RNAcentral. Lineage: Eukaryota; Viridiplantae; Streptophyta; Magnoliopsida; Solanales; Solanaceae.
CCUUACCUGUUGCACAGCCACCCUGAUCUUAGACACAUCGAACCCUGUUUCCUUAGAAAUAGCAUGAAUAGCAUCCACAAUCGACUGUGUGGCGGACAUAAGAGUCUUGAUGUCUGAGAGUUGAGAGUCAAUGGAGCUGGGCUUUUCAUUUAGGUAUGCAGGAAUGGGAGAGGGAAGAAUAGCAAACAGAGGCUUGGUUUCC